RNAcentral lists this long non-coding RNA (1151 nucleotides) under Sus scrofa (pig). Its description in RNAcentral is "lncRNA (ENSSSCG00035025848.1)". The record is from RNAcentral. Lineage: Eukaryota; Metazoa; Chordata; Mammalia; Artiodactyla; Suidae.
AUAAGAAAAGGGGAAAAAGGAUAAAAAAAACUUUGCCACAAACUGAGCCGCAGAGCCGCCCUGCCCGCCCCCACCUCUUCCUGUUCUCUGCUUUCCCAGGCUCGGCACCAAAGCCAUAGGUGGGAGGAGGUGCCCCCCCCACCCCAGUGGGUGUGGCCGGGGAGGCGCUGCCAGCCCCCUGGCUGCUGGAGGCGCCAGGUCUUGGUGCCACAGAGAGCACCCCCACUGCCCAUCCCCCGGGCCUGUGGCCUGGCAGGUGUUGAGGGACCAGGGGGGGAAGGCCGGCCGGGGCAGGACAGUCCCCAGCUGGCGGGGGAGGGGGGUCUGCCCCCAGCUGCCCUCGGCUGUUUCUUCUGUUUGUUCUUUUGGCUCCCAGCCCUGUGUCCCUGUCCCCCCUCCUUUGAGCAGAAGUCCUGUCCCUGUCCCCUCUGUCCCCACCCCGUUCCCCGAGAAAAUAAGCUAUCAUUGUUGUAUUUGCAAUCUAUGGAUGAGAGGUUUAAGUAUUUAUUAUUAUUGGUUAAUGAUUCUGAUGGUCGAAUAUGUAAUCUGCCUCCCGUCCGUCUGUCUGUCGCGGCGGGUUUCUGAGGUGACCCUGGGUGCGCAAGAUGCACUGCCCCCCCUCACGCCCCCCCCGGGGGGCCACUGGCUGGGCCCCAGCUCUCUGGGGGCAGGUGCUGCGGCCGCCCCUGCCCCCGUCCUUCCCCAGGGCUGCAGCCGUCCUGGGGCUUCUGUCCUGGGGCGCGUGGAGGCUCUUGCUCUGCGUCCUGACCCAGCUGCCCUCCUGUGCUGGGGGGACGGCCAGGCACUGGGCCAGAGCCCUCCCUGGUCACCUCCGCACACCGUCCAAGGCGCCAGCCAGUCCCCUCCCAGUCUCUCAGCCCUCCCGCCCCUCCGGCCCCUGGGCCCUGGCAUGGGGGGGGUCCCCCAGAAUGGACCCAGCCCCCUCCUAUUAUUUGCUGGAAAGUCCAGCGGAGGAGAGGUGGCUGGUCCCCCCGCAGGGCUCCCGGUCUCUCUGGACCGGGCAGCCCACCCACCUGCCCGCCCCCCUCAGAGCCCCGCCCCCAGUGCCACCCCUCCCCCCGCACCCCCAUCCUGUCCCCUUCUUUUGUAUUUGGAAACAACGUGUUGUAAUAAACCUGAGAUGGAUGUUU